This 253-nucleotide ribosomal RNA is filed under the name uncultured bacterium. RNAcentral's name for it is "partial 16S ribosomal RNA". It matches the Rfam family "Bacterial small subunit ribosomal RNA", at positions 524 to 776 of the family's 1533-position model. The record is from RNAcentral.
UACGUAGGGUGCGAGCGUUAAUCGGAAUUACUGGGCGUAAAGCGUGCGCAGGCGGUUCGUUGUGUCGGCGGUGAAAGCCCCGGGCUCAACCUGGGAAUGGCCGUUGAAACUGGCGAACUGGAGUGUGGCAGAGGGGGGUGGAAUUCCGCGUGUAGCAGUGAAAAGCGUAGAUAUGCGGAGGAACACCGAUGGCGAAGGCAAUCCCCUGGGCCUGCACUGACGCUCAUGCACGAAAGCGUGGGGAGCAAACAGG